Molecule: ribosomal RNA, 445 nt
Filed under: uncultured bacterium
Lineage: Bacteria
Description: partial 16S ribosomal RNA
Rfam family: Bacterial small subunit ribosomal RNA
Source: RNAcentral
GUGAGGAAUAUUGCGCAAUGGAGGCAACUCUGACGCAGCCAUGCCGCGUGCAGGAAGAAGGCGCUACGCGUUGUAAACUGCUUUUAACCGGGAAGAAACCCCAGGACGUGUCCUGGGUUGACGGUACCGGAGGAAUAAGCACCGGCUAACUUCGUGCCAGCAGCCGCGGUAAUACGAAGGGUGCAAGCGUUAUCCGGAUUCAUUGGGUUUAAAGGGUGCGUAGGCGGAGCGUUAAGUCAGUGGUGAAAUCCUGCAGCUUAACUGUAGACUUGCCAUUGAUACUGGCGCUCUUGAGUGCGCUUGAAGUGGGCGGAAUGUGUCGUGUAGCGGUGAAAUGCUUAGAUAUGGCACAGAACACCAAUUGCGAAGGCAGCUCACUAAGGCGAUACUGACGCUGAGGCACGAAAGCGUGGGGAUCGAACAGGAUUAGAUACCCCAGUAGUCC